RNAcentral lists this ribosomal RNA (425 nucleotides) under uncultured bacterium. RNAcentral's name for it is "partial 16S ribosomal RNA". It matches the Rfam family "Bacterial small subunit ribosomal RNA", at positions 354 to 796 of the family's 1533-position model. The record is from RNAcentral.
GUGGGGAAUCUUAGACAAUGGGGGAAACCCUGAUCUAGCCAUGCCGCGUGAGCGAUGAAGGCCUUAGGGUUGUAAAGCUCUUUCAGCUGGGAAGAUAAUGACGGUACCAGCAGAAGAAGCCCCGGCUAACUCCGUGCCAGCAGCCGCGGUAAUACGGAGGGGGCUAGCGUUGUUCGGAAUUACUGGGCGUAAAGCGCACGUAGGCGGAUUGGAAAGUUGGGGGUGAAAUCCCGGGGCUCAACCCCGGAACUGCCUUCAAAACUCCCAGUCUUGAGGUCGAGAGAGGUGAGUGGAAUUCCGAGUGUAGAGGUGAAAUUCGUAGAUAUUCGGAGGAACACCAGUGGCGAAGGCGGCUCACUGGCUCGAUACUGACGCUGAGGUGCGAAAGCGUGGGGAGCAAACAGGAUUAGAUACCCGAGUAGUCC